This is a long non-coding RNA of Helianthus annuus (common sunflower), 591 nucleotides long. RefSeq lists it as uncharacterized. The transcript is spliced from 3 exons. The record is from RefSeq and is a predicted model, not a curated record. Lineage: Eukaryota; Viridiplantae; Streptophyta; Magnoliopsida; Asterales; Asteraceae.
UCGAGCAGGAGAAAAGGGGAAGGGGUGUAAACCCUAACCCACAUAAAAUCAUCAAAUUGAAAAAGGAUUUGAGGGUUAAUUGAAUGCAUGAACCAAGAUUUAUGAUCACUCAAGCGCUCUUGACACCAAGAUAGGAAUCCCAAAUUGACAUGGACUCAAGUAUGGAAAGCUAACGGGUCAAGCGGAGGUGAGGAAGCAAGCAUGAACACUAACGCUUAAGGAAUGAGUACAUCGGAUUCUUAUGAAAAUUAAGCCGAAUCCGGAACAAGAGAAGGAGAAGGGUUAUUCGAAUGGAUCAAGUUACAUUAUCGAACGUUAUUCAAUCUUUAAUUAUUUGGGAUUAAUGUUAUAUGAUGUUGUCAUCGACUAAUGGCUAAGUUGUAUGUGAUGCCCACAGGUACUACACGGACUUCUUCUGCUGCUAAGGAAAGUGAAGCGGACGUAGAUCGAGUCAAGAGCAAGGAUUGUACGGAUAGAUCGGUCACAUAGUUGAAGAAUUUAAUGUCUAGAAAUCUAAAUUUUAGUAUGAAUGUUGUGAAUUCUUUUAUAGAACGUUUAACAUUUUUAGAAUUUGGAACCUUCGUGAAAGUA